CGGCGUCCGGGCGCCCUGCAUGGAUUCCCCACCCCAGGUCCUGCUCCCCGGCGGCGGCCGGUGGGCAGAAAGACCGAAACCCACUCACGGCCGCCUGCCGAAUCGCGGCUCUGCUGUUUGUGGGGCGUGCUAGAAACGUGGUCCUAAAAAGAAUGGCGCCAUUUACAUAAUGCUUUGUUUGCGUUUCGCAAGUUUCUUUCGGUUAAAGCCACAGAAACCCCACCUCCUGCCCUUGUGUCGUUUCCACCGCGGCACCCUUUUCCGACAUUAGAAACAAUAGUGUACGCCUGUGGAGGCCUCGUUUGUUCAGGGGCUGCCGGCCAGGGCUUCAGGACGUUUCUGCGGCUUUCUCCGCGCGGCCUGGGCUCCCGCGGCUGCUUUUCGGGCCCAUGGGCGCAGCCACCGCGCCAGGCUCAAGGGGGGCGGCCCCGUCAGGGCCCGCCAUCUUGGAAGGCCUUUUCUGCCGGUUCCUCCCGCUGAGGAAGUGUGGCUCAAGACGCUGGCCUACGAGUUGUGAUUUCUGCCCUUUUCCCUUCCUCCUUGGGCUAAGCCAGACCAGAAAGGGCCCCGUGCGCAACGUGCUUCACAAUCCCUCAGGGAAAGCGGCUAACGUGGCGCUACUCCGCCUCCCCUGUUCCUUACUCUUGGGGCGGCCGCCAUGUUUCCUGAACACAAAAUGGCGACACGUGAGGAAGACAAACAUAAAGAUGAAGUGCUUAAUUCAAGGUCACACAAUGUCGGGGAUGGACCUCCAGAUUUCCUUACUGACCUGCAUUAUCUUGUGGAUACCUGAGUGAAUUCCACACCACCCAUUUUAUAGAUGAAACCACUGAGACAUGGAGCAACUGACUGAGUAGUCACUGCCCCACCCCUGCCUGGAGCCUUACACAUGACUCGUCUCCUCUCAGUGACCACAGGUUGGUUGAGGGGUUUAACAAGGCUAAGAAGGUACUUAUCCUGUAUGACAUGAAGGAAAUGAAAUAAAAAUACUGCAACCCCACUCCCAGCUACUCAGUGAGGUGGUAGCUAGGAAAACAAGCUCAGGGCUCCCACUGAUUGUACAUUAUGGUGAGACGUGGUCUUGUAACACAGUGGUUAAGAAUGUGACUUUGGAGCCAGCCUGCUAGGGGCUGAAUUCUGACUCAGCCAUUUACUAACUGUGUGACCUUAGGGAGGAGGACCUGGUUGAUAGAAGAAUUUAUCUCGUAGUCUUAACAUCCACUGUAAUUCCAAACUUUGAGGACGAUAGAGAUCAGUGGGCUUUGACUGUCCAGCAUGGAGUCUCCAUUCUUAGGUGAGUUCCCAAGCCUGUAAAAUGUAAGCCUUAUGCUGCUGAGGGCCAUCUUGCCACCCUGAGGGGAACGCUGCCUGAGAAUGAAACCAGCAUAAGUAAAAGCUGAGCUGUGAGAUGGAGCGAGAUGAAGGCCACAUGACAUCUUUGGAGCACCUGGAUCUAACUGUGCCUUAAGCUAGUCUAACCCUGAACAUUUCAUUGACAUGGGCCCAGGUUUUCCCUUUUUUUUUGGAUGGAGUCUUGCUCUGUCGCCCAGGCUGGAGUGCAGUAGCUCAAUCUCGGCUCACUGCAAGCUCCACCUCCCGGGUUCAUGCCAUUCUCCUGCCUUAGCCUCCCAAGUAGCUGGGACAACAGGCGCCCACCACCACUCCCAGCUAAUUUUUUUAUUUUUAGUAGAGACGGGGUUUUACCGUGUUAGCCGGGAUGGUCUUGAUCUCCUGAACUCAUGAUCCGCCCACCUCAGCCUCCCAAAGUGCUGGGAUUACAGGCGUGAGCCACUGCACCCAGCCCUCAGGUUUUCCCUUUUUUUACCCCUCCUUUUGAAAAUUUGAUUUGUAAUUUUGCCACCUGCAGCCAGAAGAGUUUUAACUAAUCAGUGCCAUAAAUUUUAUAUAGUUCUCCUUGCAAAAUGUGGAUCAGCCUUUCUCAGCAAAUCCUUUGUCUUAAAGUGCUGAAUUGUAAGUUUGUCAUGAGAAUCACAUGAGAUCAUGCAUGUGAAGAACCUGGCAUUAUCCUCCUCAUAGAAAAAAACCAGUAAAUAUUAACUACAGGAAGCAAGGAAGGAGUGGGGUGAGGGGAAGAAGAAGGGGUACUGAUUUAAAAGAACCCUGGAGUCCUAAGGAUAAUCUAGGAACCCUCAGACCCAAUCCGAUACCCCUAUUCUAAAUGCUCCUAGUGCCCUGUACCUUUCCCUCAUAAGCCUUCAUUAUCAUUGUAAUGAUAUGUUUAUGUAAUAUUUUGAUUAAUGUCUCUCUCCUUCACUGACCUAGCAGUUCUAGCAGGGCAGUGAUUUUGCUGUGUUGCAUCCCCAGCACCUAGUCUGGUAUGUCGCAUUCAGCAUACGUUUAUUGAAUGAAUGGCCAUGUGGUUAUUCGGAUCCUCCUUGAUUAUUGGGGUUAGGAUUGUGGCAGAAGUGGCAAAAUCAGGGAGAGUAGUCCCUGUCCCCUCUGUAUCUUAUACACUGCCCACACUCCCAACACACAUACACAUACAGAGAAUUUUGUCUCAAUUAGAUAAUUAACUUCUACUUGGUUGUAAACCAAACCACUGGUUCUUAAACUUUCAUUGGAUCAUUUUAUUGAAGAAUUAAAUAGUGUGGCUCUGGCCUAAUGUCUGGAAAGCCUUGCAGAGGAGUGGGUUAGGUCUUUGUGAUAAACAGGCAGCCUUCCCUGCUCCUGUGUCUUUAUAAAAUCUCCUAUUUAACUGGAGUAGUCCACCCUCCCUCAGACUCUUAUAGGAAUAUGUUGGAGGCUGUAGGAAGGUGGGAAACCGAGAGGGAAAGGACUGGGCCGCUGGAGACUUCACUCACUCCCUAGCAAGAAACAAAAGCAGUAAAAGGUGGCCCGAGGACAACCUGAAGCUCACUCCUUCAGCACUUUUGGCUGGAGCUCACUUGUUGGAGCCCCACUCAGAGCUCAGCACACCACCCCACCAGCAGCCUCCUCCUCCCAGCUGAGGGUGCAUUUCAUCCCUUCCCCCAGCCUGCUUUCCCUGAGAUAGGGGAGUGUUUCCCAGGGCCCAUGUGACUUCCACUGGCAAGUGACGAUUACCAAUGGUUUACUAGUCAGUGAAACUACCAAAGGCUUUUGUGCUGUAGUAAUCCUUUUCCUGUUUAAAACUCUGGGGAUUUUCUAAUGUUGCCAAUAGUUUUUGAAGUCAGCAAUUACUGUGUGGAUUAUGUAAUGGCUCGGUAUUAAAAAUAGAAAAGACUGGA
Molecule: RNA transcript, 3227 nt
Organism: Gorilla gorilla gorilla (western lowland gorilla)
Lineage: Eukaryota; Metazoa; Chordata; Mammalia; Primates; Hominidae
Exons: 8
Source: RefSeq, marked validated